CCCCUUUCAGGAUUGCAUCCGGAGAGUUUCCAUUACUCUAUCAGUUUCGGCUACAGGAGGGAGAGUCAAGCAGAGGCAUACCCAUUCCACUCCUAGCUUGGGCAGUGGCUUGCAAGUGGAAGGCAAUCUGCUACAAGU
This is a small nucleolar RNA of Tachyglossus aculeatus (Australian echidna), 138 nucleotides long. NCBI's taxonomy places the organism in Eukaryota, Metazoa, Chordata, Mammalia, Monotremata, Tachyglossidae. The record is from RefSeq and is a predicted model, not a curated record.